CACGUAUUUAGCCGGGGCUUCUUGGUCAGGUACCGUCAAUGUCUUCCCUGCUGACAGAGCUUUACAUACCGAAGUACUCCAUCGCUCACGCGGCGUCGCUGCAUCAGGGUUGCCCCCAUUGUGCAAUAUCCCCACUGCUGCCUCCCGUAGGAGUCUGGGCCGUGUCUCAGUCCCAAUGUGGCCGCCCACCCUCUCAGGCCGGCUACUGAUCGUCGCCUUGGUGGGCCGUUACCCGCCAACAAGCUAAUCAGACGCGGACCCAUCCCGCACCGCCUGGGCUUUCCGCACAGCCCCAUGCGGGGCCGUGCGCAUAUGCGGUAUUAGCAGCCGUUUCCGGCUGUUGUCCCCCAGUGCGGGGUAGGUUGUCCACGCGUUACUCACCCGUCCGCCACUCAGUCACAGGGGCUUCGUCUCCGAAAAAGUCCGCCCCAGUGCUUCGUUCGACUUGCAUGUGUUAGGCACGCCGCCAGCGUUCAUCCUGAGCCAGAUCAAACUCUACG
RNAcentral lists this ribosomal RNA (500 nucleotides) under uncultured Eubacteriales bacterium. Its description in RNAcentral is "uncultured Clostridiales bacterium partial 16S ribosomal RNA". Lineage: Bacteria; Bacillati; Bacillota; Clostridia; Eubacteriales. The record is from RNAcentral.